UCACAGGGGCUCGAGGUCAUGUGGUCGGACACCAUUGGAAACACUGGUUAUUUUACCAAGGCUUUGACUGGAAUGUCAUAUUUGAGAGAGACAUGCGUAGACUCAGAUAUGACCAAACAGCUUUAAGGAACUGAGGUUGACUUUAUGAAACCUGGAGCCAUAAAACCCCUUGGAACUGUUGGCCUGAUACCUUGCUUACGGAGUUUCCAGCAGCCUUACCAGGUGUGCACCAUUUGCUGUCGGUCGUGACCCCCGCCCCCCCGGAGCCAUACCACCAGCCCCUGGACCGACCCCUGGGUAGAUUCUAACUGCCGCACAACCUGCCACCCCAUUUCAGCAGGAAGCAGCCAGAGUGGUCAUCGUCCCAAUUCCCUAAAGGCAGUUAGGGUUACUAUUCCAGGGGGAGGAAUGAGUAAGGGACAAGCGAGGCUAGGUAGGGAGAGACUGUUAGAGGGCAACCUGAUGAGGUUCAUGCAGGGGGCUAUGUAAACAGGCUCACAGAAAUCCCAGAUGUGGAGGCAUACAUACGAUAUUUACAAGAACGCUUUGUUUUGGGGUGCCUGGGUGGCUCAGUCGUUAAGCCUCUGCCCUCGG
This is a long non-coding RNA of Zalophus californianus (California sea lion), 594 nucleotides long. RefSeq lists it as uncharacterized. Lineage: Eukaryota; Metazoa; Chordata; Mammalia; Carnivora; Otariidae. The record is from RefSeq and is a predicted model, not a curated record. The transcript has 3 exons.